GUUUCCGGUCGCAGCAUGGAGCCGAUGAUCGU
Molecule: non-coding RNA, 32 nt
Filed under: Geobacter sulfurreducens PCA
Lineage: Bacteria; Pseudomonadati; Thermodesulfobacteriota; Desulfuromonadia; Geobacterales; Geobacteraceae
Source: RNAcentral